This 406-nucleotide ribosomal RNA is filed under the name uncultured bacterium. RNAcentral describes it as "partial 16S ribosomal RNA". It matches the Rfam family "Bacterial small subunit ribosomal RNA", at positions 30 to 526 of the family's 1533-position model. The record is from RNAcentral.
AUUGAACGCUGGCGGCAGGCCUAACACAUGCAAGUCGCACGAGUGGCGGACGGGUGAGUAAUGUCUGGGAAACUGCCCGGUGGAGGGGGAUAACUACUGGAACCGGUAGCUAAUACCGCAUACACUCGGAUGUGCCCAGAUGGGAUUAGCUAGUAGGUGGGGUAAUGGCUCACCUAGGCUACGAUCCCUAGCUGGUCUGAGAGGAUGACCAUCCAAACUGGAACUGAGACACGGUCCAGACUCCUACGGGAGGCAGCAGUGGGGAAUAUUGCACAAGGGGCGCAAGCCUGAUGCAGCCAUGCCGCGUGUAUGAAGAAGGCCUUCGGGUUGUAAAGUACUUUCAGCUGGGAGGCGUUACUAGCAGAAGAAGCACCGGCUAACUCCGUGCCAGCCGCCGCGGUAAUAC